This 477-nucleotide ribosomal RNA is filed under the name uncultured bacterium. RNAcentral describes it as "partial 16S ribosomal RNA". It matches the Rfam family "Bacterial small subunit ribosomal RNA", at positions 29 to 507 of the family's 1533-position model. The record is from RNAcentral.
ACGCACGCUGGUGGCGUGCUUAACACAUGCAAGUCGAACGGGAUUUAGUAAACAGAAGCCUCGGUGGAAGAUUACUAAUGAGAGUGGCGAACGGGUGAGUAACGCGUGAGCAACCUGCCUAUGACAGUGGGAUAGCCUCGGGAAACCGGGAUUAAUACCGCAUAAAAUCGUAGAAACACAUGUUUUAACGGUCAAAGAUUUAUCGGUCAUAGAUGGGCUCGCGUCUGAUUAGCUAGUUGGUGAGAUAACAGCCCACCAAGGCGACGAUCAGUAGCCGGUCUGAGAGGAUGAACGGCCACAUUGGAACUGAGACACGGUCCAAACUCCUACGGGAGGCAGCAGUGGGGAAUAUUGCACAAUGGGGGAAACCCUGAUGCAGCGACGCCGCGUGAACGAAGAAGGUAUUCGUAUCGUAAAGUUCUGUCCUAUGGGAAGAUAAUGACAGUACCAUAGAAGAAAGCGCCGGCUAAAUACGUG